GAUAAACGCUGGCGGCGUGCCUAAUGCAUGCAAGUCGUACGGAGCAGCACUUCGGUGCUGUUGAGUGGCGAACGGGUGAGGAACGCGUGGACAACCUACCCCGGCGUGGGGGAUACCCGCCAGAAAUGGCGGCUAAUACCGCGUACGGUCGUCUGACGAGGGGUGAGACGAAGAAAGCCGUGAGGCGCGCUGGGAGGGGUCUGCGGCCGAUUAGCUGGUUGGUGGGGUAGUGGCUCACCAAGGCGAUGAUCGGUAGCUGGUCUGAGAGGAUGAUCAG
Molecule: ribosomal RNA, 277 nt
Filed under: uncultured bacterium
Lineage: Bacteria
Description: partial 16S ribosomal RNA
Rfam family: Bacterial small subunit ribosomal RNA
Source: RNAcentral